This 427-nucleotide ribosomal RNA is filed under the name uncultured bacterium. Its description in RNAcentral is "bacterial SSU rRNA". It matches the Rfam family "Bacterial small subunit ribosomal RNA", at positions 355 to 774 of the family's 1533-position model. The record is from RNAcentral.
UGGGGAAUCUUCCGCAAUGGGCGAAAGCCUGACGGAGCAACGCCGCGUGAGUGAUGACGGCCUUCGGGUUGUAAAGCUCUGUGAUCGGGGACGAACGGUCAGCAGACGAAUACUCUGCUGAAGUGACGGUACCCGAAUAGCAAGCCACGGCUAACUACGUGCCAGCAGCCGCGGUAAUACGUAGGUGGCAAGCGUUGUCCGGAAUUAUUGGGCGUAAAGCGCGCGCAGGCGGCUUCUUAAGUCCAUCUUAAAAGUGCGGGGCUUAACCCCGUGAUGGGAUGGAAACUGAGAGGCUGGAGUAUCGGAGAGGAAAGUGGAAUUCCUAGUGUAGCGGUGAAAUGCGUAGAGAUUAGGAAGAACACCGGUGGCGAAGGCGACUUUCUGGACGACAACUGACGCUGAGGCGCGAAAGCGGGGGGAGAAAACA